Molecule: ribosomal RNA, 493 nt
Filed under: uncultured bacterium
Lineage: Bacteria
Description: partial 16S ribosomal RNA
Rfam family: Bacterial small subunit ribosomal RNA
Source: RNAcentral
AUUGAACGCUGGCGGCAUGCCUUACACAUGCAAGUCGAACGGUAACAGGUUAAGCUGACGAGUGGCGAACGGGUGAGUAAUGUAUCGGAACGUGCCCAGUCGUGGGGGAUAACUGCUCGAAAGAGCAGCUAAUACCGCAUACGACCUGAGGGUGAAAGCGGGGGAUCGCAAGACCUCGCGCGAUUGGAGCGACCGAUAUCAGAUUAGGUAGUUGGUGAGGUAAAGGCUCACCAAGCCGACGAUCUGUAGCUGGUCUGAGAGGACGACCAGCCACACUGGGACUGAGACACGGCCCAGACUCCUACGGGAGGCAGCAGUGGGGAAUUUUGGACAAUGGGCGCAAGCCUGAUCCAGCCAUGCCGCGUGCGGGAAGAAGGCCUUCGGGUUGUAAACCGCUUUUGUCAGGGAAGAAAAGGUUCUGGCUAAUACCUGGGACUCAUGACGGUACCUGAAGAAUAAGCACCGGCUAACUACGUGCCAGCCGCCGCAGUAA